RNAcentral lists this ribosomal RNA (348 nucleotides) under Triticum aestivum (bread wheat). RNAcentral's name for it is "partial small subunit ribosomal RNA". Lineage: Eukaryota; Viridiplantae; Streptophyta; Magnoliopsida; Poales; Poaceae. The record is from RNAcentral.
AUGGCGGCGUUGAUGCCGCGGUCGAGCAUCUUGUUGCCGUCGUCGCCGCCGCCGCCGGGGGCGAACCCCCCGCCCACGUCGCCCUGGAAGGCGAACGAGGGACGGCGCGGCCGUGUAAGCCGAGGCGGAGAGGGGGCUGCUGGGGAUGAGCCGGGUGCAGGCCGGGGAGGUGGCCACGGACGCCGCCAUCGCUGCCGCUGCUGUAGCCCCACAGCCAAGCUGCGAACUUCCCACCACCACACACGCACGCGCGUGCGCGCUGAGGCUGGUUGCCUCUGGCACUUGCUUCUCGUCUUGACUGACGUAGUAGGUGUUUGGCCUUUGCUUCCGACCGGUGCUUUUUUCUGA